GGGCGAUUAGCUCAGUUGGUUAGAGUGUCUGCUCGACAUGCAGAAAGUCACAGGUUCAAAUCCUGUAUCGCCCACCA
Molecule: transfer RNA, 77 nt
Filed under: Fidelibacterota bacterium
Lineage: Bacteria; Pseudomonadati; Fidelibacterota
Description: tRNA-Val
Rfam family: tRNA
About the family: Transfer RNA (tRNA) molecules are approximately 80 nucleotides in length. Their secondary structure includes four short double-helical elements and three loops (D, anti-codon, and T loops). Further hydrogen bonds mediate the characteristic L-shaped molecular structure. tRNAs have two regions of fundamental functional importance: the anti-codon, which is responsible for specific mRNA codon recognition, and the 3' end, to which the tRNAs corresponding amino acid is attached (by aminoacyl-tRNA synthetases). tRNAs cope with the degeneracy of the genetic code in two manners: having more than one tRNA (with a specific anti-codon) for a particular amino acid; and 'wobble' base-pairing, i.e. permitting non-standard base-pairing at the 3rd anti-codon position.
Source: RNAcentral